AAUAUUGGACAAUGGGCGAAAGCCUGAUCCAGCCAUGCCGCGUGUGUGAAGAAGGUCUUCGGAUUGUAAAGCACUGUUGUUAGGGAAGAACAAGUACCGGAGUAACUGCCGAUACCUUGACGGUACUGUAAGAAUAAGGAUCGGCUAACUCCGUGCCAGCAGCCGCGGUAAUACGGAGGAUCCAAGCGUUAUCCGGAAUCAUUGGGUUUAAAGGGUCCGUAGGCGGCCUUAUAAGUCAGCGGUGAAAGUUUUUGGCUUAACCAAAAAAUUGCCGUUGAUACUGUAGGGCUUGAAUUUUUGUGAAGUAACUAGAAUAUGUAGUGUAGCGGUGAAAUGCUUAGAUAUUACAUGGAAUACCAAUUGCGAAGGCAGGUUACUAACAAACGAUUGACGCUGAUGGACGAAAGCGUGGGUAGCGAAC
RNAcentral lists this ribosomal RNA (421 nucleotides) under uncultured bacterium. RNAcentral's name for it is "partial 16S ribosomal RNA". It matches the Rfam family "Bacterial small subunit ribosomal RNA", at positions 360 to 773 of the family's 1533-position model. The record is from RNAcentral.